AGGAAUUUGUGGAGACUGGAAAACGUGUUUAAGUACAACCCAACAAGAAUACAUGGAUAGAAUUUACCAGGAGAAAAUGAAAGAACUAGAUAUGAAAUUCAUCUGGGAUGAAUGUUGAUUGUUGUUGAUAGCUUUAAUCUUGAUUGUUAUUAAUGAUGAUUACAUAAUUUUCUCUACACAAUGUCUAAUUUUGUUGUACGUAUAACAAAGAAAAGAAAGCUCAUUCACUAAAUACCAUAUUUUUCCUAAUCUAAGAUAUAGUUAAGUAUUCCAAACCUGGUAGCAAGAGACAAGAAAAAAGGGGGGCGGGAUGCACAAGAGACCCGUUAUGGGGGUUAGACCUCUAGAUGGUUGUUUUAUUUAUUUUUUCUUCAUAAUGUAUUGUUAAACUAAAGGAGUGUGUCAUAUUCAAGUGCAUCUUUUAUUCCCCAAAAAUAUGGUAGCAAAUUUUGGUGAUCUGUAAACUAAAUCUUAAAAUCAUGGCUAAAUAGUCAAACUAUGGCUUCAGCUGAGUUGAAAAGUUUUUUUUGACACAGAUUUUGUAGAUUUUUUGGUUGCACUGUUUCAUAACUAAACCUUUUAGUGUUUUUUGAAAGCUUUGUUGAUGCUUAGUUUGCAUGCUACAGAGUUAAAUGUGUUCCUGGGUUGAAGUUAUGUCUACGAUUAGGUCCAGCGAUGGAUGUUUAAUGGUGAUGUGAACUCCGAUUUUGAACUGAUUUUUUAGGAAUAAAUAAA
Molecule: non-coding RNA, 735 nt
Organism: Pelobates cultripes (western spadefoot toad)
Lineage: Eukaryota; Metazoa; Chordata; Amphibia; Anura; Pelobatidae
Source: the annotation of a GenBank genome assembly